AGCAGUAUUGAACUGAAGAGUUUGAUCAUGGCUCAGAUUGAACGCUGGCGGCAGGCCUAACACAUGCAAGUCGAGCGGAUGAAGGGAGCUUGCUCCUGGAUUCAGCGGCGGACGGGUGAGUAAUGCCUAGGAAUCUGCCU
Molecule: ribosomal RNA, 140 nt
Filed under: Pseudomonas aeruginosa
Lineage: Bacteria; Pseudomonadati; Pseudomonadota; Gammaproteobacteria; Pseudomonadales; Pseudomonadaceae
Description: partial 16S ribosomal RNA
Rfam family: Bacterial small subunit ribosomal RNA
Source: RNAcentral